UGGGGAAUAUUGCACAAUGGGCGAAAGCCUGAUGCAGCAACGCCGCGUGAGUGAUGAAGGCCUUCGGGUUGUAAAGCUCUGUCUUCUGGGACGAUAAUGACGGUACCAGAGGAGGAAGCCACGGCUAACUACGUGCCAGCAGCCGCGGUAAUACGUAGGUGGCAAGCGUUGUCCGGAUUUACUGGGCGUAAAGCGUGCGCAGGUGGUUGUGUAAGUCAGAUGUGAAAUCCCCGGGCUCAACCUGGGAACUGCAUUUGAGACUGCACGGCUAGAGGAUGGCAGAGGGGGGUAGAAUUCCACGUGUUGCAGUGAAAUGCGUAGAGAUGUGGAGGAAUACCGAUGGCGAAGGCAGCCCCCUGGGCUAUUACUGACACUCAUGCACGAAAGCGUGGGGAGCAAACA
Molecule: ribosomal RNA, 402 nt
Filed under: uncultured bacterium
Lineage: Bacteria
Description: bacterial SSU rRNA
Rfam family: Bacterial small subunit ribosomal RNA
Source: RNAcentral